GUCAGGAUGGACGAGCGGUCUGGCACGGUCUAAGGCGCUGCGUUCAGGUCGCAGUCCACUUCUGUGGGCGUGGGUUCAAAUCCCACUUCUGACA
Trichonephila clavipes is the source of this 94-nucleotide non-coding RNA. NCBI's taxonomy places the organism in Eukaryota, Metazoa, Arthropoda, Arachnida, Araneae, Nephilidae. The record is from the annotation of a GenBank genome assembly.